RNAcentral lists this ribosomal RNA (739 nucleotides) under uncultured Acidobacteriota bacterium. Its description in RNAcentral is "bacterial SSU rRNA". It matches the Rfam family "Bacterial small subunit ribosomal RNA", at positions 56 to 827 of the family's 1533-position model. Lineage: Bacteria; Pseudomonadati; Acidobacteriota. The record is from RNAcentral.
UGCAAGUCGAACGAGAAAGUGGAGCAAUCCAUGAGUAAAGUGGCGUACGGGUGAGUAACACGUGACUAACCUACCCUUGAGUGGGGAAUAACCUCGGGAAACCGGGGCUAAUACCGCAUAACACCUUCGGGUCAAAGGAGCAAUUCGCUUAAGGAGGGGGUCGCGGCUGAUUAGCUAGUUGGUGGGGUAAUGGCCUACCAAGGCAAUGAUCAGUAUCCGGCCUGAGAGGGCGCACGGACACACUGGAACUGAAACACGGUCCAGACUCCUACGGGAGGCAGCAGUGGGGAAUUUUGCACAAUGGGGGAAACCCUGAUGCAGCAACGCCGCGUGGAGGAUGAAGUCCCUUGGGAUGUAAACUCCUUUCGACCGGGACGAUAAUGACGGUACCGGUGGAAGAAGCCCCGGCUAACUCUGUGCCAGCAGCCGCGGUAAUACAGAGGGGGCAAGCGUUGUUCGGAAUUAUUGGGCGUAAAGGGUGCGUAGGCGGUGCGGUAAGUCUUCUGUGAAAUCUCCGGGCUCAACUCGGAGCCUGCAGGAGAAACUGCCGUGCUUGAGUAUGGGAGAGGUGAGUGGAAUUCCUGGUGUAGCGGUGAAAUGCGUAGAUAUCAGGAGGAACACCUGUGGCGAAAGCGGCUCACUGGACCAUAACUGACGCUGAGGCACGAAAGCUAGGGGAGCAAACAGGAUUAGAUACCCUGGUAGUCCUAGCCCUAAACGAUGAUUGCUUGGUGUAGCA